GACGAACGCUGGCGGCGUGCUUAACACAUGCAAGUCGAACGGAAAGGCCCUGCUUUUGUGGGGUGCUCGAGUGGCGAACGGGUGAGUAACACGUGAGUAACCUGCCCUUGACUUUGGGAUAACUUCAGGAAACUGGGGCUAAUACCGGAUAGGAGCUCCUGCUGCAUGGUGGGGGUUGGAAAGUUUCGGCGGUUGGGGAUGGACUCGCGGCUUAUCAGCUUGUUGGUGGGGUAGUGGCUUACCAAGGCUUUGACGGGUAGCCGGCCUGAGAGGGUGACCGGCCAAAGUGGGACUGAGAUACGGCCCAGACUCCUACGGGAGGCAGCAGUGGGGAAUAUUGCACAAUGGGCGGAAGCCUGAUGCAGCAACGCCGCGUGCGGGAUGACGGCCUUCGGGUUGUAAACCGCUUUCGCCUGUGACGAAGCGUGAGUGACGGUAAUGGGUAAAGAAGCACCGGCUAACUACGUG
This 468-nucleotide ribosomal RNA is filed under the name uncultured bacterium. Its description in RNAcentral is "partial 16S ribosomal RNA". It matches the Rfam family "Bacterial small subunit ribosomal RNA", at positions 28 to 507 of the family's 1533-position model. The record is from RNAcentral.